RNAcentral lists this small RNA (566 nucleotides) under Pongo abelii (Sumatran orangutan). Its description in RNAcentral is "retained intron". Lineage: Eukaryota; Metazoa; Chordata; Mammalia; Primates; Hominidae. The record is from RNAcentral.
GUCCGCCCGCCCUCGGCUCCGCCGCCGUGAUGCUGUCCCGGUCCCGCUGUGUAUCCCGGGCGUUCAGCCGCUCGCUCUCCGCCUUCCAGAAGGGGUCUCCUUAUGCCAGGGACCAGGUUACCCUAACAGCAGGAAGGUUGUAGGAUGACUUGGUUACAGUCAAAACCCCAGCGUUUGCAGAAUCCGUCACAGAGGGAGAUGUCAGGUGGGAGAAAGCUGUUGGAGACACAGUUGCAGAAGAUGAAGUGGUUUGUGAGAUUGAAACUGACAAGACAUCUGUGCAGGUUCCAUCACCAGCAAAUGGCGUGAUUGAAGCUCUUUUGGUACCUGAUGGGGGAAAAGUCGAAGGAGGCACUCCACUUUUCACACUCAGGAAAACUGGUGGUAAAGAAGUUCUCCUGGUGGUCAAGGUCUCCAGUGUUCCCUCUUGGGAUUGGGACUGAGCAUAAUAUGCUAAUUCCCCGAUAUGUCAAAGACUCUGUCAUUCCAGCUGCCCUUAGUUGAGGGAAUAAGGGGUAAAUUUAUAUAUAGUGUGAACUUUAAAUGUCAAAUUCUAAAAGAAAAGU